Tribolium castaneum (red flour beetle) is the source of this 1255-nucleotide long non-coding RNA. RefSeq lists it as uncharacterized. The transcript is spliced from 3 exons. Lineage: Eukaryota; Metazoa; Arthropoda; Insecta; Coleoptera; Tenebrionidae. The record is from RefSeq and is a predicted model, not a curated record.
AACUAAAUUAUCAACUUAUAAGAUUCCCACCACCUUCAUAUCUCGCAUUCCUGGCGAGGAGUUUCUUCGUUGUGGUAGACAGUGGCUGAAUUUUUCAAAAAACGUGAUAACUGGAUCACAAUUUUCACAAAGCAAGAAGCAUGAAAUGAGUUUGGCGAAAGGACCAAGGUCUAAUUAAUAAACAAAAAUCGACAACUCAUCAAAGAUAGGUAAACAGCAAGCUACCGUGUUUCAAUAACAAUGAAGAGAUCGACUAAUUCCUGGAGAAACUUCGGAUUUACCUACAAAUGUGUAAUUGUAGACGGGAUUUUUGUUAUUUAUUUGCUUAUUAGAGGUUUAGUCUGCAUUAAAUUGCACAUUAAAAAUAGUUAUCAAGCAUGUAAUUAUAAUUAUUAAAUAAAAAAUAAAGCCGACUGUAAAAAUUAAACGUAACUGAGGUUGUAGUUCUGCAGUUGCAUCAAACGUUCAAAUUACCUGACGAAAACAUUUAUCUAGUUAAACUUUACCCAAUCUUCGAAAUCGGGCAAUAAUGUAUUGUUAUCUGAGACCAAAAUCUGGGUUAAUUAGACAAUUAAGACAAAAGCGUUUUAGUAAAAAUAUAACGGGCUAUAUUGUGUAACCAUUGAGUAAAAAUUGCAGCAAUAUUCCAAAUAAAGUGCUGUAUUAACCCAGCUUCAAGUUCCUAAUUGAGAUUGCAGUGCAUGAAGCAGAUGAUUACAUUAAAGUUUCGUUAGACUAAACUGUAUAAAACAUUAUUGUUGGUCAGUUUAUCUUAAUAUUAUCUUGCUUUCUUCUUGUUUGUGUGUAAGAAAGGCACACAAUUUAAAUUCCGGAGUGCAGUAGUAAAAUUGUAAAAGUUGAGGUAAUAAUUUAUUUCUUCUUCAAACACAUAUCACAGAAAUUUUUGUAAAAUUACAUAAUCGACAAUUUACCAGUCCUUUUUCAAAUUUCAUGAUUAUUAGCUAUUAUCUUCGAGAGAUCGUGCAGAAAAUAUCAUGAACAAAAAAAUUGAUUCAAAGUCUAUUACCUCACAAGCAAAUCCAAUAUCACGUUUACAUUCUUAUUAGAUUUACUUGUCAUGGUAAAUUGUGCUUCCACUUACUUUCUGAGGAUACAGAUGAACCGUUUAUUGCAGUUUAGAACUACAACUACGUUUUCCUACAAAUUGUUUAAUCAAAAAUAAAUAUUUCGUAAAUAUUACUACAGUAUAGAUAUUAAUAAACACGAGAUAAUUAGCUUGAUUCAUUUUAGUUAG